UACGUAGGGGGCUAGCGUUAUCCGGAAUUACUGGGCGUAAAGGGUGCGUAGGUGGUUUCUUAAGUCAGAGGUGAAAGGCCACGGCUCAACCGCGGAACUGCUUUGGAAACUUUUUUGCUGGAGUACCGGAGAGGUAAGCGGAAUUCCUAGUGUAGCGGUGAAAUGCGUAGAUAUUAGGAGGAACACCAGUGGCGAAGGCGGCUUACUGGACGGUAACUGACGUUGAGGCUCGAAAGCGUGGGGAGCAAACAGG
RNAcentral lists this ribosomal RNA (253 nucleotides) under uncultured bacterium. RNAcentral's name for it is "partial 16S ribosomal RNA". It matches the Rfam family "Bacterial small subunit ribosomal RNA", at positions 524 to 776 of the family's 1533-position model. The record is from RNAcentral.